AUCAGAGAAUUCAUUAGGUAAUUAUUAUUUUUUCAUUAUUUGCUUAAGCCGUGGUGUAUUUACCCCAUACAAAUAUGACAGCCACGUAGUAAAUGGGAUCAGGAACUUGGCAUACCCAUUUUCUUCCACAUAGCGCAGAGGGGGAGCCUGGGAGCAGCUUCACAGUACGACAGCUAACAGUGAAGUUAGGAUAUAUAAGAAGUGACGGGAUGGUGUCGAGUGUCAUUUAUCAUCAUCUGUGGCCAUGAAGGAGAUCCUCUGCUCCGUGCUGGUGGAUGGUCAGAGAUGAUUUGUGCCCUGUUCCACAUGCGUGCAAGCGAGGCACCACAUAAUUGUAAGUCAGCUCACCUGGAGCAGCUUUGGACACCCUCAGUCCCCAGUUUAACCCCAUCUCCUGGGGUCCCCCGCACCUUGGUUAGUGUCCCAUUGCAGCAGGUGUCCAGCUCCACCAGCCCAGAGGUGGAUGUGGAUGGAGAAUCCCAGGGUGGCACCAGCCACUGUUCCUCUGCGCCUUUCUCAAAAAGGGUUUGGGGCGUUUGUGCAGGCUGGCUCCCAUUUCCCGGGGCAGCAGGGCUGCUGGGCCUGACCCCAUUGUUGGGUCACAGUGGGCGAUGGCAGAGGGGCUGGGCAGGAGGUCAGAGUGACAGCAGCACCGUGUCAGAAUGGCUUUGGAGUGCUAUACAGAAAGCAGCAGCUUCGGGCACGCUUCAAGAGCAUCCCAAGAUUUAUGAUGAUGAAUGAAACAAGAAGGGUUACAUAGCAGAAUAAACCUGGGAGUCAUCUUAACCACAAGAAAAUAUUUGACACAAUAGGCAAUAAGACAUCUGGCUGUUACUAGUGUGUAUUAGCAAGUCGCAUCCUUUUAACCCUCCUCAUCAUUUUAUUUGUAAAGUGCUCCCCCGCUGAGAUACCAGGGGCCAUGUGCAAACAAUUUAAAACAACAUCAGGAAAUAAACAGUAUGGGCAAAAAUGAUGAGAUGCUUUUUAAAGCCGAAAAGCUGC
This is a long non-coding RNA of Cygnus olor (mute swan), 1002 nucleotides long. RefSeq lists it as uncharacterized. NCBI's taxonomy places the organism in Eukaryota, Metazoa, Chordata, Aves, Anseriformes, Anatidae. The record is from RefSeq and is a predicted model, not a curated record. The transcript has 3 exons.